GCGGAGGGAUCAUUACUGAGUGAGGGCCUUCGGGCUCGACCUCCAACCCUUUGUGAACACAACUUGUUGCUUCGGGGGCGACCCUGCCGUUUCGACGGCGAGCGCCCCCGGAGGCCUUCAAACACUGCAUCUUUGCGUCGGAGUUUAAGUAAAUUAAACAAAACUUUCAACAACGGAUCUCUUGGUUCUGGCAUCGAUGAAGAACGCAGCGAAAUGCGAUAAGUAAUGUGAAUUGCAGAAUUCAGUGAAUCAUCGAAUCUUUGAACGCACAUUGCGCCCCUUGGUAUUCCGAGGGGCAUGCCUGUUCGAGCGUCAUUUCACCACUCAAGCCUGGCUUGGUAUUGGGCGCCGCGGUCAAUCCGCGCGCCUCAAAGUCUCCGGCUGAGCUGUCCGUCUCUAAGCGUUGUGAUUUCAUUAAUCGCUUCGGAGUGCGGGCGGCCGCGGCCGUUAAAUCUUUCAAAGGUUGACCUCGGAUCAGGUAGGGAUACCCGCUGAACUUAAGCAUAUCAAUAAGC
This 515-nucleotide ribosomal RNA is filed under the name fungal sp. NLR-2013. RNAcentral's name for it is "eukaryotic LSU rRNA". The stretch from base 162 to 315 matches the Rfam family "5.8S ribosomal RNA". Lineage: Eukaryota; Fungi. The record is from RNAcentral.